GACAGCCUGAGGUGCAGUGUUUGUGAUUGGUAGAGCUCACAGCCCUGAGGGACAUGGAUCACGUGAGGAGAAAGACACCUCUGCAGAGCAUGAACAUCAGCAUACCUAUGUGACUUGGCCAUGCUCCAACCCCUGUUGUGACUGUACAGCAAGAGAGAAUGAUAGCAGGAAUAAAAGGCUAUCAACAAAGGUUAAAUUGAUAGAUCAGCUGUGACAACUCAGCUCUCCCUGUGGAUGUUCUGCCUUUAUAGCAGCUGUAAUAUCAGAAGGUUUGGUACCUGCAGCAGAAUGCAAGUAACUUCACCCCAAGUUAGGAGAAGCUGCAUUGGUAGAGGCAAUAUUCAAAUCUGUGACAACUUCUGGCUGUAAACAAGAGAAGCACUCCUACAGG
This is a long non-coding RNA of Passer domesticus (house sparrow), 391 nucleotides long. RefSeq lists it as uncharacterized. The transcript is spliced from 4 exons. NCBI's taxonomy places the organism in Eukaryota, Metazoa, Chordata, Aves, Passeriformes, Passeridae. The record is from RefSeq and is a predicted model, not a curated record.